This 864-nucleotide long non-coding RNA is filed under the name Homo sapiens (human). RNAcentral's name for it is "non-protein coding CYP1B1-AS1:51". Lineage: Eukaryota; Metazoa; Chordata; Mammalia; Primates; Hominidae. The record is from RNAcentral.
AAGUACCUACCACGCCACCCGCUACCUGUAAUAAUCCAUCUGAAGAGGUCGCCGGGCAGCGCCUCGGCAGACAGACUGACCUGCGGGGAGGUGCGGUUUCCAGUGGCGCGGGACAGCCGGCUCCGAGAAGGAACUGGGACCUUUGCCUAGGGCAAGACGUCAACAGGAACCCGCAGGCCCGGCCUGGACACCUGCUGCCCUCACUGGAAGCUUUAACUCCCACUCGAGUCUCUUGGCGUCGUCAGUGCCAGGAGCGCUUGGAUUGGGAUGGGGACGGAGAAGGGUGCCUCGCUCGCCGAGCCCCGCUGCCCUUGGGGACCUGGCAAAGUCGAGGUUUCCUCACAGCGUUGAGAUUGAGACUGGGGGUCGGCAGCACUGAGAAGUGAAGGAAUAUUUGGGAGGAUCAGAAGCUUGGUCCUGAUUUUGCCAUCAACAGGAACUUGAUGACUUCAAGGGAGUCCCCAAACCCUGGGUUUCUGUUUUCUCAACUCUAACAUGAGGGGCUAGAUGCAUCUGGUUUAGUUAGUCUCCAUGAUGGUUUAGUUCGUCUCCAUGAUCCUGUGAAUUUCAGAUGUUGAAAAUCUUCGGAAAAGCCCUGAAAGAUGAACAGUGGUCUCAAAUAGUCAAGACCCCCUGCUGGGAGGAGCUUCUAUCCUGCUCUGUGGAAGAAAUGGGCAUGCCAGAUGCCUGGAAGAUCAGAGGCUCACAUUCCAGCACCAUUCACAAUAGCAAGGACAUGGAAUCAACCUAAGAGCCCAUCAACAGUGGAUUGGAGAGAGAAAAUGAGGUACAAAUACACCAUGGAAUACUAUGCAGCCAUAAAAAAGAAUGAAAUCAUGUCCUUUCGCAACAUGGAUGGAGGUG